CCUACGGGUGGCAGCAGUGAGGAAUAUUGGUCAAUGGGCGAGAGCCUGAACCAGCCAAGUCGCGUGAGGGAAGACGGUCCUAUGGAUUGUAAACCUCUUUUGCCGGGGAGCAAAAAGCGGUACGUGUACCGCAUCGAGAGUACCCGGACAAAAAGCAUCGGCAAAUUCCACGCCAGCAGCCGCGGUAAUACGGAGGAUGCGAGCGUUAUCCGGAUUUAUUGGGUUUAAGGGGUGUGCAGGCGGAGAGUAAAGUCAGAGGUAAAAUUUCGGGGCUCAACCCCGACAAGCCGUUGAAACUGGCUUGCUAGAGUGGGCGAGAAGUAUGCGGAAUGCGUGGUGUAGCGGUGAAAUGCAUAGAUAUCACGCAGAACACCGAUUGCGAAGGCAGCAUACCGGCGCGCAACUGACGCUGAGGCACGAAAGCGUGGGUAUCGAACAGGAUUAGAUACCCCGGUAGUC
This 459-nucleotide ribosomal RNA is filed under the name uncultured bacterium. Its description in RNAcentral is "partial 16S ribosomal RNA". It matches the Rfam family "Bacterial small subunit ribosomal RNA", at positions 338 to 795 of the family's 1533-position model. The record is from RNAcentral.